UACGUAGGGUGCGAGCGUUAAUCGGAAUUACUGGGCGUAAAGCGUGCGCAGGCGGUUCUCCAAGUCCGUUGUGAAAGCCCCGGGCUCAACCUGGGAAUGGCAGUGGAAACUAGGGGACUGGAAUCUGGCAGAGGGGGGUGGAAUGCCGCGUGUAGCAGUGAAAUGCGUAGAGAUGCGGCGGAACACCGAUGGCGAAGGCAGCCCCCUGGGCCAGCACUGACGCUCAUGCACGAAAGCGUGGGGAGCAAACAGG
This 253-nucleotide ribosomal RNA is filed under the name uncultured bacterium. RNAcentral's name for it is "partial 16S ribosomal RNA". It matches the Rfam family "Bacterial small subunit ribosomal RNA", at positions 524 to 776 of the family's 1533-position model. The record is from RNAcentral.